This is a long non-coding RNA of Hermetia illucens (black soldier fly), 577 nucleotides long. RefSeq lists it as uncharacterized. The record is from RefSeq and is a predicted model, not a curated record. Lineage: Eukaryota; Metazoa; Arthropoda; Insecta; Diptera; Stratiomyidae. The transcript is spliced from 2 exons.
CCAUUUUGAAAGCGUCAGUUCAUUUUUAAUUUUCUCACCCGCAUAUACCGAAAUAGUUUUCUUUUUUAAAUAUUUCCCAAGCAAACCAAAAUUUCCGUACAAUAGUUGAUAUUUGAUUAAAGUUCUUAAAAUAAUAAAGGAAAAGUCAAUAUUAUAAAGAGGUAAUUGAACGGUCUACUACCAUCCAAUAUGUCAAAUGGCAAGGACAAGCCAACUGGUGAUGAUGACGCUUACUAUCAAGUUCCAUCUUUUAUAAAGGAAUACUACUUCACCGGCAAAGUCUUCCCUCAGCCCGGGGAUCAAAAUACCGUGGGACCACCGUCAUCCUAUUGUCUUAGUAAUUCUUGCCUGACGCACCCUUUUGACGCAAAUUGCUAUCCGGAAAUGCCUCCUCCGGGAAUUCCAUUUUGCGCAAAUUGGUCGUGGCCGAAUUCCUCAGGAUUCGGAUCCAGCGGCUCUGGCUGUUGCGGCAUGGGUGGUGGAAAUUUCCGUCAAUUUUAAGACUUAGAUCUGAAUUACCUUUUAAGUUCAAAAUUAUCUGACAAUGCUUUUACAAUAAAUUUUGAAAUCAACAAAA